RNAcentral lists this ribosomal RNA (345 nucleotides) under uncultured archaeon. RNAcentral describes it as "bacterial SSU rRNA". It matches the Rfam family "Archaeal small subunit ribosomal RNA", at positions 385 to 730 of the family's 1478-position model. The record is from RNAcentral.
UGUGAGGGCAUAUAGCCCUCGCUUUUCUGNACCGUAAGGUGGUGCAGGAACAAGGACUGGGCAAGACCGGUGCCAGCCGCCGCGGUAAUACCGGCAGUCCAAGUGAUGGCCGAUAUUAUUGGGCCUAAAGCGUCCGUAGCUUGCUGUGUAAGUCCAUUGGGAAAUCGACCAGCUCAACUGGUCGGCGUCCGGUGGAAACUACACAGCUUGGGGCCGAGAGACUCAACGGGUACGUCCGGGGUAGGAGUGAAAUCCUGUAAUCCUGGACGGACCACCAAUGGGGAAACCACGUUGAGAGACCGGACCCGACAGUGAGGGACNAAAGCCAGGGUCUCGAACCGGAUU